CCUACGGGCGGCAGCAGUGGGGAAUAUUGCACAAUGGGGGAAACCCUGAUCCAGCGACGCCGCGUGAGCGAUGACGUAUUUCGGUAUUUAAAGCUCUAUCAGCACGGAAGAAAAUGACGGUACCUGAGUAAGAUUCUCCGGCUAAAUACGUGCCAGCAGCCGCGGUAAUACGUAUGGAGCAAGCGUUAUACGGAUUUACUGGGUGUUAAGGGAGCGCAGUCGGCCUAGCAAGUCUGAUGUGAAAUGCCGGGGCUCAACCCCGGAGCUGCAUUUGAAACUGUGAGGCUGGAGUGUCGGAGAGGCAGGCGGAAUUCCUGGUGUAGCGGUGAAAUGCGUAGAUAUUAGGAAGAACACCAGUGGCGAAGGCAGCCUGCUGGACGAUGACUGACGCUGAGGCUCGAAAGCGUGGGGAGCAAACAGGAUUAGAUACCCCAGUAGUC
Molecule: ribosomal RNA, 440 nt
Filed under: uncultured bacterium
Lineage: Bacteria
Description: partial 16S ribosomal RNA
Rfam family: Bacterial small subunit ribosomal RNA
Source: RNAcentral